AUAACGUGCAAAGUGAAUCAAAGAUGGUGCCCCUCAAAGUCCAGGGAAGAGGGCUAAGAGCAAUGGAGGCAGAUCUGCUGGGGCUGUCGCAAGGCGAAGUGGCAGGGACGGAUGCUGAACAUUCUGCCAGCGGUCACACCAGUCAGCGGGAACUUGGCUUUUUACCCCUGCGGCCUGAGGCUGGCCCUGAGAGUGCAGCUCGGGCCUCGGGGAGAUCCAGCAAUCCCUCCUGGAAUCACUGAGAGUUUAAGCCUGUGCAGAGAGCAGCCGAGACCUCUGGCCAACAGCAGGAGACAAGCAGGCUCAAAGCGGCCGGCCCGGGAAGCGGCCGGCCCGGGAACCUGUUUUGCUCCUGCAGCUUAGGAAAUGAAUAUUCAGAGCACUAAUACGUGGAACCGAGCAGAAAAAUUAUUCUGGCACAGAUAUUGAGGGAGAAGAAAACGAGAUCCUGUCCCGCAGGGAACUGGAUAAACAAAGAGGAUCGGAUUCGGGCAAGAGGACCUCAAUUGGCUUCCACAGCCGAUUGCCACGAUCUGGACAAGGGGCUGUAUCCUUCUGCCUCAGCUUCCCUUCUGUGUAAGAAAGCAUUGGCUUAGAUGGUGUCAGGUUCAAUCCCAGUUCUAGCAUUCUGUGGGGGUGUCGGGGCUCUGGAUCUACGUAAGGGGUUGCAUAUUAAUGCGGCGGGCAACAUCAGGUAGUAGAGUAGUGAACUUGAGGGUAGUUCUCUGAAUAUCAAAAGCCUACUUCCUAGGAGAGCUUACUUUUCCCUCAGAGAAAACUGGGGACUAGGAAAGCCAAGGGGAUCCGGACGUACCUGCUGGAAGAGGAGGACAGCGCGCAGAGGUCAGUGCCCUAGAAAAGGGAAGAGUGGUGA
Molecule: long non-coding RNA, 874 nt
Filed under: Mustela putorius furo (domestic ferret)
Lineage: Eukaryota; Metazoa; Chordata; Mammalia; Carnivora; Mustelidae
Description: lncRNA (ENSMPUG00000025598.1)
Source: RNAcentral